This 495-nucleotide ribosomal RNA is filed under the name uncultured bacterium. RNAcentral's name for it is "partial 16S ribosomal RNA". It matches the Rfam family "Bacterial small subunit ribosomal RNA", at positions 28 to 507 of the family's 1533-position model. The record is from RNAcentral.
GACGGACGCUGGCGGCGUGCCUAAUACAUGCAAGUAGAACGCUGAAGGAGGAGCUUGCUUCUCUGGAUGAGUUGCGAACGGGUGAGUAACGCGUAGGUAACCUGCCUGGUAGCGGGGGAUAACUAUUGGAAACGAUAGCUAAUACCGCAUAAUAGUAGAUGUUGCAUGACAUUUACUUAAAAGGUGCAAUUGCAUCACUACCAGAUGGACCUGCGUUGUAUUAGCUAGUUGGUGGGGUAACGGCUCACCAAGGCGACGAUACAUAGCCGACCUGAGAGGGUGAUCGGCCACACUGGGACUGAGACACGGCCCAGACUCCUACGGGAGGCAGCAGUAGGGAAUCUUCGGCAAUGGACGAAAGUCUGACCGAGCAACGCCGCGUGAGUGAAGAAGGUUUUCGGAUCGUAAAGCUCUGUUGUAAGAGAAGAACGAGUGUGAGAGUGGAAAGUUCACACUGUGACGGUAUCUUACCAGAAAGGGACGGCUAACUACGUG